AUGAACCUAUUGGCCUGGAACUGUCGAGGCUUGGGGUUGGACUCGACAGUUGGCGAACUCCGUGACCUGAUUAGGUCCUACAACCCAGUGGUGGUAUUUCUAUGUGAAACAAAGAAGAGGGCAAGAGCUAUGGAGAAGAUCAAAUGGAGUCUAGGCUUCAGGAAUGGUGUGGCGGUUGACUGCGAGGGCCAGAGUGGAGGAUUGGCUUUAUGGUGGCGUGAU
RNAcentral lists this ribosomal RNA (222 nucleotides) under Triticum aestivum (bread wheat). RNAcentral's name for it is "partial small subunit ribosomal RNA". Lineage: Eukaryota; Viridiplantae; Streptophyta; Magnoliopsida; Poales; Poaceae. The record is from RNAcentral.